AGAGUUUGAUCCUGGCUCAGGAUGAACGCUGGCGGUAUGCUUAACACAUGCAAGUCGAACGCACCUUUCGGGGUGAGUGGCGGACGGGUGAGUAACGCGUGAGAAUCUGGCUUCAGGUCUGGGACAACCACUGGAAACGGUGGCUAAUACCGGAUGUGCCGUUGGGUGAAAGGUUAACUGCCUGAAGAUGAGCUCGCGUCUGAUUAGCUAGUAGGUGUGGUAAGAGCGCACCUAGGCGACGAUCAGUAACUGGUCUGAGAGGAUGAUCAGCCACACUGGGACUGAGACACGGCCCAGACUCCUACGGGAGGCAGCAGUGGGGAAUUUUCCGCAAUGGGCGAAAGCCUGACGGAGCAAUACCGCGUGAGGGAGGAAGGCUCUUGGGUCGUAAACCUCUUUUCUCAGGGAAGAACACAAUGACGGUACCUGAGGAAUAAGCAUCGGCUAACUCCGUGCCAGCAGCCGCGGUAAUACGGAGGAUGCAAGCGUUAUCCGGAAUGAUUGGGCGUAAAGCGUCCGCAGGUGGCUGUGUGUGUCUGCUGUUAAAGAGUGAGGCUCAACCUCAUAAGAGCAGUGGAAACUACACGGCUAGAGUGCGUUCGGGGCAGAGGGAAUUCCUGGUGUAGCGGUGAAAUGCGUAGAGAUCAGGAAGAACACCGGUGGCGAAAGCGCUCUGCUAGGCCGCAACUGACACUGAGGGACGAAAGCUAGGGGAGCGAAUGGGAUUAGAUACCCCAGUAGUCCUAGCCGUAAACGAUGGAUACUAGGCGUGGCUUGUAUCGACCCGAGCCGUGCCGUAGCUAACGCGUUAAGUAUCCCGCCUGGGGAGUACGCACGCAAGUGUGAAACUCAAAGGAAUUGACGGGGGCCCGCACAAGCGGUGGAGUAUGUGGUUUAAUUCGAUGCAACGCGAAGAACCUUACCAAGACUUGACAUGUCGCGAAUCUUCUUGAAAGGGAAGAGUGCCUUCGGGAGCGCGAACACAGGUGGUGCAUGGCUGUCGUCAGCUCGCGUCGUGAGAUGUUGGGUUAAGUCCCGCAACGAGCGCAACCCUCGUUUUUAGUUGCCAGCAUUAAGUUGGGCACUCUAGAGAGACUGCCGGUGACAAACCGGAGGAAGGUGGGGAUGACGUCAAGUCAGCAUGCCCCUUACGUCUUGGGCUACACACGUACUACAAUGCUACGGACAGAGGGCAGCAAGACAGCGAUGUCAAGCAAAUCCCGUAAACCGUGGCUCAGUUCAGAUCGCAGGCUGCAACUCGCCUGCGUGAAGGAGGAAUCGCUAGUAAUUGCAGGUCAGCAUACUGCAGUGAAUUCGUUCCCGGGCCUUGUACACACCGCCCGUCACACCAUGGAAGCUGGUCACGCCCGAAGUCAUUACCCCAACGAUUCGUCGAGGGGGAUGCCUAAGGCAGGACUGGUGACUGGGGUGAAGUCGUAACAAGGUAGCCGUACCGGAAGGUGUGGCUGGAUCACCUCAU
This 1480-nucleotide ribosomal RNA is filed under the name Komarekiella atlantica CCIBt 3552. RNAcentral describes it as "bacterial SSU rRNA". It matches the Rfam family "Bacterial small subunit ribosomal RNA". The record is from RNAcentral. Lineage: Bacteria; Bacillati; Cyanobacteriota; Cyanophyceae; Nostocales; Nostocaceae.